CAGAGUUGAAAAACUCCCAAACCCUAUGUGAACCUACCUAUAUCGUUGCUUCGGCAGGCGGCCCCAGGGCGGGGCUGUAGCCUCUUCGGAGGUGCCUGCCGGAGGAUCAUGACUCUGUCUCUACUAUGCCUUCUGAGCACAUAUAAAAUAGUUA
RNAcentral lists this unclassified non-coding RNA (154 nucleotides) under uncultured Sordariomycetes. Its description in RNAcentral is "sequence contains ITS1". Lineage: Eukaryota; Fungi; Ascomycota; Sordariomycetes. The record is from RNAcentral.